CCUACGGGAGGCAGCAGUGAGGAAUAUUGGUCAAUGGACGCAAGUCUGAACCAGCCAUGCCGCGUGCAGGAAGACGGCUCUAUGAGUUGUAAACUGCUUUUGUACGAGGGUAAACGCAGAUACGCGUAUCUGUCUGAAAGUAUCGUACGAAUAAGGAUCGGCUAACUCCGUGCCAGCAGCCGCGGUAAUACGGAGGAUUCAAGCGUUAUCCGGAUUUAUUGGGUUUAAAGGGUGCGUAGGCGGUCGGAUAAGUUACAGGUGAAAUCCCGAGGCUCAACUUCGGAAGUGCCUCUGAUACGGUUCGUCUAGAGAGUAGAUGCGGUAGGCGGAAUGUAUGGUGUAGCGGUGAAAUGCUUAGAGAUCAUACAGAACACCGAUUGCGAAGGCAGCUUACCAAGCUACUUCUGACGUUGAGGCACGAAAGCGUGGGGAGCAAACAGGAUUAGAUACCCCGGUAGUC
Molecule: ribosomal RNA, 460 nt
Filed under: uncultured bacterium
Lineage: Bacteria
Description: partial 16S ribosomal RNA
Rfam family: Bacterial small subunit ribosomal RNA
Source: RNAcentral